CCAGACUCCUACGGGAGGCAGCAGUGAGGAAUAUUGGUCAAUGGGCGAGAGCCUGAACCAGCCAAGUCGCGUGAGGGAUGACUGCCCUAUGGGUUGUAAACCUCUUUUGUAUGGGGGGAAUAAGCUUUACGAGUAGAGUGAUGACAGUACCAUACGAAUAAGCAUCGGCUAACUCCGUGCCAGCAGCCGCGGUAAUACGGAGGAUGCGAGCGUUAUCCGGAUUUAUUGGGUUUAAAGGGUGCGUAGGCGGAACAUUAAGUCAGCGGUAAAAUCGAGGGGCUCAACCCCUUUAAGCCGUUGAAACUGGUGAUCUUGAGUGGGCGAGAAGUAUGCGGAAUGCGUGGUGUAGCGGUGAAAUGCAUAGAUAUCACGCAGAACUCCGAUUGCGAAGGCAGCAUACCGGCGCCCGACUGACGCUGAGGCACGAAAGCGUGGGGAUCGAACAGGAUUAGAUACCCUGGUAC
RNAcentral lists this ribosomal RNA (464 nucleotides) under uncultured bacterium. RNAcentral describes it as "bacterial SSU rRNA". It matches the Rfam family "Bacterial small subunit ribosomal RNA", at positions 331 to 793 of the family's 1533-position model. The record is from RNAcentral.